This is a long non-coding RNA of Acinonyx jubatus (cheetah), 2125 nucleotides long. RefSeq lists it as uncharacterized. Lineage: Eukaryota; Metazoa; Chordata; Mammalia; Carnivora; Felidae. The record is from RefSeq and is a predicted model, not a curated record. The transcript is spliced from 4 exons.
GGUUACUCAAGGGGAGGAGGCGCGGUCUGAGGUUUCUUCGAUUUUCCCGGAAAAGGGGUCAUGUCCGGGACAUAGUCAGUCAAGGUGGAGGACACAGAACAAGAUGGAGUCGGCCGGCGUAGGCCCACCCUUUCAGCCGCUAUUGUCCAAAGUCCUGGAGCGCUGAGGAAGAGAACAGAAAUCUGAGAGGGGAAGUUACUUUUGUUCUUCCAGUAUCAAUAGAUCAACUAGAUGGCCCCCAAGAGGAACCACUGGCACCACGUCUGAGGGGGAGCUGGAAUGCAGGUGUUCAUGCCGAGUCCAGGAAUGCCGGUUGGAAGGGAGAGAUGGUUGUGUGCACAGUUGAGCUCCUGGCACGGACCAGCCACUAUUCUAGGAACUAUGGAGGCAAACAUAAGACAGAUAUUCUCCACGUUUAGAAGACAGACAGAGGAUGCGUAUUGAGGGAAGACAAACCAACUGGGACAGACUUCGCUCCACGUUGCUUUUGGGGAAUACAGGAGAAAUUCCUGCGUAGAUGCCCAUGUUCACCUCCAUUCAUCUCCACCUGCAAAGAAACACACGGAUCUGGCUUCUUUGUGGAUUCUCUUUGAGUCCUCUGACACUCCCAGGAGUGGUUCCUACGUGAGGGCAUGUCACUCAUCAUUCCCCAACCGCCACCCUGGGGUCAGCUCAGAGCUUGGAGGAAGUAGCCUCUGAGUAAGAGCGCCACCCGUGGUAGACAUAACCCACAGCUCCAUCGGCCCAGAUCACUUCCUGGGUGCCUGUGUGUGCCUCCUUCUGAUCCCAGGUUCUGUUCACCUCACCUGACACUUUCAGAGCCAGUUCUCAAUUCAGAUGAUAAUCUAGCACGAAAAAUAAAACGACCCUCACCUAAAAGGAGCCACAGCGGCAAAGGUGUGUUAAACAAAGCAUAGGCACUUUGAAAAAAAAUUGGUAACUGGUCGAGAGGAAAGAAAUGUUCGGUUACUAUUUUUUUUUUUUUGGUUUUUGUUUUUUCCUGCUUGGCAUUGGGCUGUCUAUGUAAUAAGGAUGAAAUGGGCUUUAGAGGGACGAGGACCCAACAAUGCUUGAGAGGCUGGCUGGGGGGACAGCCUCCAAGGCAGAGCCAUUCAACUGCCUUCAGUCAUUUCCUAUUUUUAAUAUUAAAGGAAUAUGGAGAGAAACAGGACAGAACAUAGCGUUCUGGGAAACCAGUAAUCAAAUGGCCUAAAGCUAAUGUUUACUUUUUGGAAUGUUUUCUGAAGGCAUUACUUGGAGAUGUAAAAAAGAGAGAGAGCACCUAAUAAUAGCCUUUCAGUGGCGGAAACAGAAAAGCAGCACAGACAUGAUAAUUGAAUUUGGUUUGGAUGGUCAAAAUCUGUGUGAUCCUACAGCUGUAUUUUCUAAACCAUCCGCUUGACUUUUAAUACAUGUUCUACGUUUUGUUUCCUUUGCCCAUCGCUGCAUUUGAAAAUUGCCAAUUACCUUACAAGCCUAUUCAAUUUUCCUUUGCUACUAUUUUUUUCCUUCCCUCCUGCAAAGGAAGACGCUCGGCCAUCAUUUCUUCUCAGCCCUCAGUUCCCUCACCCAGCCGUCCAAGCAGGUCAACAGAGGAUCAGAGUAAAGCAGAUCCUGAAAACCUAUGAGCAAAAGAUCAGUAAGUCCAGCUCCAUCCCUAGGAACACCCCCAGGAACACAGGUUGGUGACCACCAACACUUUGCCCCACACAAUUCAAUGUGCACACAACAGGCAAAAAAAUGAAUGGGAGCAUCUGUGUGGCACUUAAUUCAAGGUUAGGUACCAUCUGAAUGAUAGAGCCUGGGUUCCAAAGUUGUGACGUAAUUUUACUUAUAUGUUUCGAGUCCUUAUUAUGUCUCGUAUAACCACCCCAAAAUCCUUUUCGGAAUCGUCCAAGAGAAGAAUCUCCAUGUGUCCCAAUCGAUGUUUAUUUGACCUUGGGUUACGAUAAAGAGCAGUGCCAUAUUUGUGCUAUAAUUUAAUACUGCUCUCAGAUGUUUCUAUUAUGAGUUCUGGACAUCUGGGAGCUCAUAAGAUGACUCUGGGAUUUGCAAAUUCUUCCCAUAUGUGUGGACUUGCAUAGACUUGCGAUGUUAAGAAAAUAAAAGCUCUAUUACAGCUGGA